Molecule: ribosomal RNA, 365 nt
Filed under: Priestia flexa
Lineage: Bacteria; Bacillati; Bacillota; Bacilli; Caryophanales; Bacillaceae
Description: bacterial SSU rRNA
Rfam family: Bacterial small subunit ribosomal RNA
Source: RNAcentral
UGGGCGUAAGCGCGCGCAGGCGGUUUCUUAAGUCUGAUGUGAAAGCCCACGGCUCAACCGUGGAGGGUCAUUGGAAACUGGGGAACUUGAGUGCCGAAGAGAAAAGCGGAAUUCCACGUGUAGCGGUGAAAUGCGUAGAGAUGUGGAGGAACACCAGUGGCGAAGGCGGCUUUUUGGUCUGUAACUGACGCUGAGGCGCGAAAGCGUGGGGAGCAAACAGGAUUAGAUACCCUGGUAGUCCACGCCGUAAACGAUGAGUGCUAAGUGUUAGAGGGUUUCCGCCCUUUAGUGCUGCAGCUAACGCAUUAAGCACUCCGCCUGGGGAGUACGGUCGCAAGACUGAAACUCAAAGGAAUUGACGGGGG